This 253-nucleotide ribosomal RNA is filed under the name uncultured bacterium. RNAcentral's name for it is "partial 16S ribosomal RNA". It matches the Rfam family "Bacterial small subunit ribosomal RNA", at positions 524 to 776 of the family's 1533-position model. The record is from RNAcentral.
UACGGGGGGGGCAAGCGUUGUUCGGAAUUACUGGGCGUAAAGGGCUCGUAGGCGGCCAACUAAGUCGGACGUGAAAUCCCCAGGCUCAACCUGGGAACUGCGUCCGAUACUGGAUGGCUUGAAUCCGGGAGAGGGAUGCAGAAUUCCAGGUGUAGCGGUGAAAUGCGUAGAUAUCUGGAGGAAUACCGGUGGCGAAGGCGGCAGCCCGGACCGGCAUUGACGCUGAGGAGCGAAAGCCAGGGGAGCAAACGGG